This 117-nucleotide ribosomal RNA is filed under the name Candidatus Woesearchaeota archaeon. The record is from RNAcentral. Lineage: Archaea; Nanobdellati; Candidatus Woesearchaeota.
UGGAACGGUCAUAGCGGAGAGGUUACACCUGAACCCAUUUCGAACUCAGAAGUUAAGGGCUCCAGCGAAGUCAUGUGUACUGGACUUAUGUCCGGGAAAUUGUAUACGCUGUUCCAU